CACCUCUCAGGGUCACAGCCAGAGGGUUUCCAGUACUCUACCAGUCUCAGCUAUGGGAGGGAGGGUCAAGCAGAGGCCUGUCCAUUCCAUUCCUAGCUUGGACAGUGGCUAGCGAGUGGAAGGCAAUCUGCUACAAGU
This is a small nucleolar RNA of Tachyglossus aculeatus (Australian echidna), 138 nucleotides long. Lineage: Eukaryota; Metazoa; Chordata; Mammalia; Monotremata; Tachyglossidae. The record is from RefSeq and is a predicted model, not a curated record.